This 437-nucleotide non-coding RNA is filed under the name Monodelphis domestica (gray short-tailed opossum). RNAcentral describes it as "Eukaryotic small subunit ribosomal RNA". It matches the Rfam family "Eukaryotic small subunit ribosomal RNA", at positions 1197 to 1642 of the family's 1831-position model. Lineage: Eukaryota; Metazoa; Chordata; Mammalia; Didelphimorphia; Didelphidae. The record is from Rfam by way of RNAcentral.
GAUUUCUCUCUUGAGCCAUAAAAAGUCCCUCACCCAGGCUGGACAUGGAAAGGAUUGAUGAUUGAUAGGUCUUUCUCAAUUCUGUGGGUGGUGGUGAAUGGCCGUUCUUAGUUGGUGGAGCAAUUUAUCUGGUUAAUUCCAAUAACGAAGGAGACUCUGGCAUGCUAACUAGUUACAAGACCCCUGAGUGGUUGGCAUCCCAACUUCUUGGUGGGACAAAUGUUGUUCAUCCACCCAAGACUGAGCAAUACCAGGUCUGUGAUGCCCUUAGAUGUCCAGGGCUGGACACACACUACACUGACUGGCUCAGCGUGUUCCUACCCUAUGCUGGCAGGCACGGGUAACCCAUUGAACCCCAUUUGUGAUGGGGUUCAGGGACUUCAAUUAUUCCCCCUGAAUGAGGAAUCCCCAGUAAGUGUGGGUCAUAAGCUUGUGUU